This 77-nucleotide transfer RNA is filed under the name Deltaproteobacteria bacterium. Its description in RNAcentral is "tRNA-Pro". It matches the Rfam family "tRNA". Rfam says of the family: Transfer RNA (tRNA) molecules are approximately 80 nucleotides in length. Their secondary structure includes four short double-helical elements and three loops (D, anti-codon, and T loops). Further hydrogen bonds mediate the characteristic L-shaped molecular structure. tRNAs have two regions of fundamental functional importance: the anti-codon, which is responsible for specific mRNA codon recognition, and the 3' end, to which the tRNAs corresponding amino acid is attached (by aminoacyl-tRNA synthetases). tRNAs cope with the degeneracy of the genetic code in two manners: having more than one tRNA (with a specific anti-codon) for a particular amino acid; and 'wobble' base-pairing, i.e. permitting non-standard base-pairing at the 3rd anti-codon position. Lineage: Bacteria; Pseudomonadati; Myxococcota; Myxococcia. RNAcentral also lists the same sequence under 2 other names. The record is from RNAcentral.
CGGGGUGUAGCUCAGCCUGGUAGAGUGCGAGCUUUGGGAGCUCGAUGUCGCAGGUUCGAAUCCUGUCGCCCCGACCA